GAUUGGGUUAUGUGUAUGCUUGAAGUUUAUUGGAAGAUAGAAUUGUUCGGUUAAGUUUUGUUUGCUGGAAAAGUUAAGUGAAAAAUCAUUUUGUUUUAUUGUGAAAGUAAUUUGUAAAGAAAUUUGGGGUUGGACUAGAGUGGAAAAGUACUGUAAAGGAAAUUAUUAUUAUUAAGUGAAAGAAGAUUUGAGUUUUUGUACCUUUUGUAUCAGGGAUUUUUGAUUUAGUUUGUGUAUUUAUGGAUUUCCCGAAAUAAAGUGAUCUAGUUUACUAAGGGUGUUCAUGUUAUAAAAUGAAACUGAAUAGGUAAAUUAGAAGUGAUAUGUUAGUCGCACUUUAUAUAUCUGGUUUUUUUCGAAAUAAAUUGAAUUUAGUGCUUAGGAUAAUUUGUUAUAAGUUGAAAUAUUCAGGGGGAAGAGCUUCUGAAUAAUUAUGGUUUUGUAAAUUGAAGUUUGUAGAAUAUUUGUAUUUAGGCUUAGAAUCAGCUAUAAUGUUAUUUCGUUUUAGAGAAUAUAAGCUAGAGAUUUGUGUUUUUUGUGGAUAUAUUACAUAAAGUAGAAAAUUAAUUUUAUUAAUUUGUUUUAAGGUUUGAUAAUGAUUGUAUUAGUAAAGUAGUUUUUGUAAAAUAGGUUUUUUGGAAUGUUUUUGUAGGUAUCUAAUCUAUUUUUGGCAUAUUAAAGGAAUUCGACAAAUUUUGCGCUCACCUGUUUAUCAAAAACAUGUCUAUUUGAACAUAAUAAAUAGUCUGGCCUGCCCACUGAUGUUUAAAGGGCCGCGGUAUUUGGACCGUGCUAAGGUAGCAUAAUCAAUAGUCUUUUAAUUGGGGUCUAGAAUGAAUGGUCGGAUGAGGUGCAAGUUUUCUGCUAGUGUGUUAUUGAAUUUUACUUUUAAGUGAAAAGGCUUAAAUAAUUUAGUGGGACGAUAAGACCCUGUGAAGCUUUAUUUUAGUUGUAUCUUGAUACUUAAUAUGUUGGUGAAUUGAGGUUAGGUUUGGCUGGAAUUGUGUUGGGGCGACAAGAAUAUAUAAUAAAACUGUUUGUGUAUUGAAAAAUAAUUAAUUUUUAGAGAAUUGAUCCUGAUGUUGUGGAUUAGAAGAUUAAAGUUACUCCAGGGAUAACAGCGUAAUUUUCUUUGAGAGUUCAUAUCGACAAGAAUAGUUGCGACCUCGAUGUUGAAUUAAGAUUUCAUUAAAGUGCAGGAGCUUUAAUUGUAGGUCUGUUCGACCUUUAAAAUCUUACAUGAUUUGAGUUCAGACCGGCGUGAGCCAGGUUAGUUUCUAUCUUUUAUUUUGUUUGUUAAAUCAUUCUAGUACGAAAGGAGAGAGUGGUUGGGAUAGUCUUGAGAAUUAGAUUGACUUUAAAUUACUU
This 1368-nucleotide ribosomal RNA is filed under the name Typhlatya monae. RNAcentral's name for it is "16S ribosomal RNA". The stretch from base 604 to 1368 matches the Rfam family "Archaeal large subunit ribosomal RNA", at positions 1423 to 2808 of the family's 2987-position model. The record is from RNAcentral. Lineage: Eukaryota; Metazoa; Arthropoda; Malacostraca; Decapoda; Atyidae.